CAAUAGCGUAUAUUAAAGUUGUUGCAGUUAAAAAGCUCGUAGUUGGAUUUCUGUGGGCGCUGCGUCGACUCCCGAGCGGAGAAGACGGGGCGCGCACAUCGUUCUGUGAGCUCGGGCUUGGUUCUCACGGGCCGAACCCGCGCGCAGAUGUUUUACCUUGAGGAAAUUAGAGUGUUUCAGGCAGGCUUAGCCGGAAUACGCUAGCAUGGAAUAAUGGCGAGGACUUGGGCCUCAUUCGUUGGUUUGGGGGCCAGAGUAAUGGUUAAUAGGGACAGUUGGGGGCAUUAGUAUUUAAUUGUCAGAGGUGAAAUUCUUGGAUUUUUUAAAGACUAACCUGUGCGAAAGCAUUUGCCAAGGAUGUUUNCAUUA
Molecule: ribosomal RNA, 369 nt
Filed under: uncultured eukaryote
Lineage: Eukaryota
Description: partial 18S ribosomal RNA
Rfam family: Eukaryotic small subunit ribosomal RNA
Source: RNAcentral